Molecule: RNA transcript, 1581 nt
Organism: Solanum verrucosum
Lineage: Eukaryota; Viridiplantae; Streptophyta; Magnoliopsida; Solanales; Solanaceae
Gene name: tetraspanin-20-like
Exons: 6
Source: RefSeq, a predicted model, not a curated record
AAAGUAAAAAACAAAACCUUUUGCCAGCUCAAUCAUCAUCAUCCACAGUUUUUUGCUUGACCAAAAAUGUACAGAACGAGGAACAGAGCAUAGAGGGAACAAUUCUACGAUUAUUAGGGUUUGUGGGUAGAAGAGGAAUCUCAGAAUGCCAACACCAUGUUGCCAAGGUUUCACCGCAUUUCUUCUGAAAUUCCUCAAUUUCUUACAAACUUUCAUUGGUGUCUCCAUCAUCAUUUACUCUGCCUAUAUGCUUAACCACUGGCACCACCACCACAACGAUGUUCAUGACGCCCAAUUCCUCAAUUUUGGCUCAAUUGACGUUUCAAAUUCUGUCGUCUCGGCUUUACCAGAGUUGAACAAAAAUUCGCUUCCAGCUCCAUGGUUUAUAUAUGCAUUCAUGGGAAUUGGCGUCAUCUUAUGUUGUAUCACUUGUAUUGGGCAUGUUGGUGCUGAAGCUGUUAAUGGGUGUUGCCUUUGCUUUUACUCUCUGCUAAUGAUGACUUUUGUACUCUUGGAAGUAAGUCUGGUUGCAUUUAUUGCAAUUGAUCAUCAUUGGGAGAAGGAUCUUCCAACGGACCCAACUGGAGAACUUCACAGCCUCCGCACCUUUAUUCAACAAAAUAUGGAUGUUUGUAAGUGGAUUGGCAUUGUUGUUGUCGUAAUUCAGGCAGGUUUUCUUUGAACUUGAAGGUCUUCUAAGAUUUUAUUUUGUGUUCCUUGUUUGUUUUUGAAUACCUUCAUCCAGACUAGGUGAUGCUUCUCGUUAAGGUGGAAAUUGAGAAAGUUGGGAUUACUAAUGUAUAUGUUAUCUGGAACAUGCUUCAGAAUAGGCAUUCUCCUUAUUUCUCGCAGUUGUUCUCAGAACUUUGGUUAGUAGCCCUAAACUAAAUUAUGAUAUGGAGGGAGAUUAUGAUGUUGUUGGAAGAACGAGGGAGCCACUGCUUGAUCCACGUUUAAGCCAAACAUCUGGGUUGGCUAAAGGUGAUGCAAGAGGUGGCCAUUCUGACAUCUGGAGUUCACGGAUGAGGGAAAAGUAUCAUUUGGAUGGAGAAUCAAGACAUCAUAUACCAAACCCAAAUCCAUCAUGAGGAUAGUAAGAAACACAGAGGACAUGACGUUGAAUCUCAUGGAGUAGAUAAACUGGCAACAUGGCUGAGUAUGAAGCCUUGUUCAAUGAUUGUGUACCAUAAAUUAUAAACCUUUUGUUUGUUGUCAGUUUAUGUAGGCAGUGUACAUAUGUCUGCAGAAAGACAUUGCAAAGCUGGGAUGUAGAGAAAUACAUAACUCGCUUGUUAAUAGGAUCCUUUGUUGAGAAGCACUUUACCAGAGUGCAUUUCUAGUUUGGUGUCAUAGUGAAAUUUGUUCUCUUUUUAAUUCUUCCAAAUGUAGCAACAAUUGUGUCGAUGUAUGGUUUUCCAAGCCUGAUUGAUCUCUGCUUAUUUUUCGUAAGUAAAUACAUAGAAAAGUAGUAUAGCUUAGUUUUAUCUGUACACAUUCUCACAGAACAUGAUAGGUGUAAGGAUCCUCCUCAAAAGGAGUAUGAAUACCUCCUAUUUUAGCUAGGAGAAUUAUUUCUUUUCU